UUAGUUUUGGAAUAGUAUUAGUGACAAAAAGGCUAGAAUUCAUUUCCGGAUAUUGGUAUGAAAGACUAGAAUUUACCACACUACCAUGAAUUCUGUGCUGAAGCCAGCUGAAUUAGUCUUUAUGGCUGCUACAGCAAGGAGCCCCAAAGCUCAUGGCUUACAAGCCCACAAAUAUAUUAUCUUAUAGUUCUGAAAGUCUGACCUCAGUUUCACUGGACUAAAAUUAAAGUGUGCUUAUGGUUGUGUCCCCUUCUGGAGCUAUUUGGAGAAAAGAUUUCUCAUCUGCCCCAGUUCUUAGAAGAAGUUUACAUUCCCAGGCCUGCUCAUUCACCUUCAAAUCCAGCUGCACAGAUGCUGGCUCCCUGGGACUGCAACCCUGAUCGUCUCUUCCGUUCAUGCAUGCAUUUGUGUAGUUAUGAAUGUUAAUCAUUGGUUCCUGUGUUUUCCGGGGCCAUGUGUGGAAUCCAGGUGUACCCUCCCAUCUCCAGAUCUGUGAUUGAUUCAUCCAGUUUUGAGAAGUCUCUUUGCUAUGUAAGGCUAUCUACAAAAUGGUUUCCUCUGUCAUGAAAAUGCCUGAAGAUGAAUCAACCCCAGAAAAAAGGACAGAGAAGAUCUUCUGCCAGAUGGACACCAAUAGAGAUGGAAAACUCUCCCUGGAAGAAUUCAUCCGAGGGGCCAAAAGAGAUCCAUCCAUAGUGCGUCUCCUGCAGUGUGACCCCAGCAGCGCCGGCCAGUUCUGAGCCCCGCACCCUAAGGACGCUACAGCUGCCUGGGUCUCUCCCAGUUGGCUUUUAAACUUAUUUUAUUUGUAUUUUUUUGCCAAACAAUAUUGAUGGUGAAGCUGUCCCCUCUUCAGUCAGACGCGCUCUGC
This is a long non-coding RNA of Meriones unguiculatus (Mongolian gerbil), 871 nucleotides long. RefSeq lists it as uncharacterized. The transcript is spliced from 3 exons. The record is from RefSeq and is a predicted model, not a curated record. Lineage: Eukaryota; Metazoa; Chordata; Mammalia; Rodentia; Muridae.